This 1797-nucleotide ribosomal RNA is filed under the name Choreocolax polysiphoniae. RNAcentral describes it as "SSU rRNA". It matches the Rfam family "Eukaryotic small subunit ribosomal RNA". Lineage: Eukaryota; Rhodophyta; Florideophyceae; Gigartinales; Choreocolacaceae. The record is from RNAcentral.
CCGAAUUCGUCGACAACCUGGUUGAUCCUGCCACUGGUAUAUGCUUGUCUCAAAGACUAAGCCAUGCAAGUGCCUGUAUGAGUGUUUAUACAACGAAACUGCGAAUGGCUCGGUAAAACAGCAAUAAUUUAUUCGGGGGUAAUACUACUCGGAUAACCGUAGUAAAGCUAGAGCUAAUACGUGCAGCGAAGGCGAGAAACGUCUCGUGGUACUAAGUAUUAGGUACAAACCAAAUAUUUUUGGUGAUUCAUACUUAUCUUCUGAUCGCAGGAAACUGCGACGCCCCGAAUAAAUUUCUGACCUAUCAACUAUGAUGGUAAGGUAGGGUCUUACCAUGGUUGUGACGGGUAACGGACCGUGGGUGCGGGAUUCCGGAGAGGGAGCCUGAGAAACGGCUACCACAUCCAAGGAAGGCAGCAGGCGCGCAACUUACCCAAUCCGAACUUCGGGAGGUAGUGACAAUACAUAUCAAUAGGGGGACCAAUGGUCUUUCUAAUUGGAAUGAAUACAAUGUAAACACAUUAAUGAGGAACCAGCAGAGGGCAAGUCUGGUGCCAGCAGCCGCGGUAAUUCCAGCUCUGUAAGCGUAUACCAAAGUUGUUGCAGUUAAAACGCUCGUAGUCGGAUUUUGGCGUGUUUCUGUUGAUGCAGCAUUUUGCAGUUGACGCAGGAGCGCCUUUGUGGAAGGGGGUGUGGUGGUACUUUAUUGUAUUGCUGCAUGUCCGCCACUGUUUACUGUGAAAAAAUUAGAGUGUUCAAAGCAGGCGAUUGCCAUGAAUAUAUUAGCAUGGAAUAAUAGAAUAGGACCUGGUGCCGUUCUAUUGGUUUGUCGGUCUCAGGUAAUGAUUAACAGGGACGGUCGGGGGCAUUUGUAUUCCAGCGCUAGAGGUGAAAUUCUUGGAUUGCUGGAAGACAAACAGCUGCGAAAGCGUCUGCCAAGGACGUUUUCAUUGAUCAAGAACGAAAGUAAGGGGAUCGAAGACGAUCAGAUACCGUCGUAGUCUUUACUAUAAACGAUGAGAACUGGGGAUCGGACGUGGCCUUUUUUGGUACGUUCGGCACCCUCCGGGAAACCAAAGUAUUUGCUUUCUGGGGGGAGUAUGGUCGCAAGUCUGAAACUUAAAGGAAUUGACGGAAGGGCAUCACCGGGUGUGGAGCCUGCGGCUUAAUUUGACUCAACACGGGAAAACUUACCAGGUCCAGACAUAGUGAGGAUUGACAGAUUGAGAGCUCUUUCUUGAUUUUAUGGUUGGUGGUGCAUGGCCGUUCUUAGUUGGUGGAGUGAUCUGUCUGGUUAAUUCCGUUAACGAGCGAGACCUGGGCGUGCUAAAUAGAGCAUGUUAUUCUUGUAAUAGCAUUUUUUCUUCUUAGACGGACUGUAGGCUUUUAGCCUAUGGAAGCUCCAGGCAAUAACAGGUCUGAGAUGCCCUUAGAUGUUCUGGGCCGCACGCGUGCUACACUGAACGGUUCAACGGGCGAGGUAGUGCGAAAGCAUGACCCAAUCCCUAAAUCCGUUCGUGCUGGGGAUAGAAGCUUGCAAUUUUCCUUCUUGAACGAGGAAUACCUUGUAAGCGUGAGUCAUCAUCUCGCGCUGAAUACGUCCCUGCCCUUUGUACACACCGCCCGUCGCUCCUACCGAUUGAGUGGUCCGGUGAGGCCUUGGGAGAGGGAGGAGGAUUGUGUUUUACACAAACCUUUUUCCUUAAACUUGGUCAAACCUUACUACUUAGAGGAAGGAGAAGUCGUAACAAGGUUUCCGUAGGUGAACCUGCAGAAGGAUCAAGCUUGGAUCCCGGG